Molecule: ribosomal RNA, 348 nt
Filed under: uncultured Anoxybacillus sp.
Lineage: Bacteria; Bacillati; Bacillota; Bacilli; Caryophanales; Anoxybacillaceae
Description: bacterial SSU rRNA
Rfam family: Bacterial small subunit ribosomal RNA
Source: RNAcentral
GGACAGGUGGUGCAUGGUUGUCGUCAGCUCGUGUCGUGAGAUGUUGGUUAAGUCCCGCAACGAGCGCAACCCUCGACCUUAGUUGCCAGCAUUCAGUUGGGCACUCUAAGGUGACUGCCGGCUAAAAGUCGGAGGAAGGUGGGGAUGACGUCAAAUCAUCAUGCCCCUUAUGACCUGGGCUACACACGUGCUACAAUGGGCGGUACAAAGGGUCGCGAACCCGCGAGGGGGAGCCAAUCCCAAAAAGCCGCUCUCAGUUCGGAUUGCAGGCUGCAACUCGCCUGCAUGAAGCCGGAAUCGCUAGUAAUCGCGGAUCAGCAUGCCGCGGUGAAUACGUUCCCGGGCCUU